AGUGAACGCUGGCGGUAGGCCUAACACAUGCAAGUCGAGCGGCAGCACAGUAAGAGCUUGCUCGUACGGGUGGCGAGUGGCGGACGGGUGAGGAAUACAUCGGAAUCUACUUUUUCGUGGGGGAUAACGUAGGGAAACUUACGCUAAUACCGCAUACGACCUACGGGUGAAAGCAGGGGAUCUUCGGACCUUGCGCGAUUGAAUGAGCCGAUGUCGGAUUAGCUAGUUGGCGGGGUAAAGGCCCACCAAGGCGACGAUCCGUAGCUGGUCUGAGAGGAUGAUCAGCCACACUGGAACUGAGACACGGUCCAGACUCCUACGGGAGGCAGCAGUGGGGAAUAUUGGACAAUGGGCGCAAGCCUGAUCCAGCCAUACCGCGUGGGUGAAGAAGGCCUUCGGGUUGUAAAGCCCUUUUGUUGGGAAAGAAAAGCAGCAGGUUAAUACCCCGCUGUUCUGACGGUACCCAAAGAAUAAGCACCGGCUAACUUCGUG
RNAcentral lists this ribosomal RNA (492 nucleotides) under uncultured bacterium. RNAcentral's name for it is "partial 16S ribosomal RNA". It matches the Rfam family "Bacterial small subunit ribosomal RNA", at positions 29 to 507 of the family's 1533-position model. The record is from RNAcentral.